RNAcentral lists this ribosomal RNA (253 nucleotides) under uncultured bacterium. RNAcentral describes it as "partial 16S ribosomal RNA". It matches the Rfam family "Bacterial small subunit ribosomal RNA", at positions 524 to 776 of the family's 1533-position model. The record is from RNAcentral.
GACGGGGGAUGCGAGCGUUGUUCGGAAUCACUGGGCUUAAAGCGCGUGUAGGCGGCUAGGUAAGUAUCGUGUGAAAUCCCACGUCUCAAACGUGGAACGGCUCGGUAUACUGCCUGGCUCGAGGCUGGUAGAGGUGCCUGGAACUCUAGGUGGAGCGGUGAAAUGCGUAGAUAUCUAGAGGAACGCCCGUGGCGAAAGCGGGGCACUGGGCCUGACCUGACGCUGAGACGCGAAAGCGUGGGGAGCAAACGGG